GAUGAACGCUGGCGGCGUGCCUAAUACAUGCAAGUCGAGCGAACGGAUGAGGAGCUUGCUCCUCUGACGUUAGCGGCGGACGGGUGAGUAACACGUGGAUAACCUACCUAUAAGACUGGGAUAACUUCGGGAAGCCGGAGCUAAUACCGGAUAAUAUAUUGAACCGCAUGGUUCAAUAGUGAAAGACGGUUUUGCUGUCACUUAUAGAUGGAUCCGCGCCGCAUUAGCUAGUUGGUAAGGUAACGGCUUACCAAGGCAACGAUGCGUAGCCGACCUGAGAGGGUGAUCGGCCACACUGGAACUGAGACACGGUCCAGACUCCUACGGGAGGCAGCAGUAGGGAAUCUUCCGCAAUGGGCGAAAGCCUGACGGAGCAACGCCGCGUGAGUGAUGAAGGUCUUCGGAUCGUAAAACUCUGUUAUUAGGGAAGAACAAAUGUGUAAGUAACUAUGCACGUCUUGACGGUACCUAAUCAGAAAGCCACGGCUAACUACGUG
This 497-nucleotide ribosomal RNA is filed under the name uncultured bacterium. RNAcentral's name for it is "partial 16S ribosomal RNA". It matches the Rfam family "Bacterial small subunit ribosomal RNA", at positions 28 to 507 of the family's 1533-position model. The record is from RNAcentral.